This 471-nucleotide ribosomal RNA is filed under the name Triticum aestivum (bread wheat). Its description in RNAcentral is "partial small subunit ribosomal RNA". Lineage: Eukaryota; Viridiplantae; Streptophyta; Magnoliopsida; Poales; Poaceae. The record is from RNAcentral.
AUGCUUUCGCCAUUGCGGAUCCCUUUGCCGGCACCGAGGUGCCAGAGAAGCCGCGGCCGCCGUCGGGACGCCGCUGCCGAGAUCCUCCAUCGCCGUCCCGGCCCCGGCCAUCCAGGUGCCGCCGACCCACGCACGCCGCCGCUCCACGCGCGUGGUCUGCCCCUCCACGCCUCCAUGCGCCGCUGCAGCCCACGCACGCCAUCUGCCCCUUUAAACCUCCACGUGCCGCCGAUGAGUUCGUCGUUGCCGACGGGGAGAGCGGGGGGAACAACCUCGGGGAGCGAGAGGCCGUCACCGGCCCCGGGAUUCGGCGCCGCGCGGCUGUCAUCGACGCAGUCCGGAGGUACCAAGUCUGCUACUCGUACCGACAUGUUGGUCGACGUAGGAAUGGUAGCUGGCUGUGAUAAUCUUGAGGUUCCACGACAUGUUGGAAUGGAAGUGCAUCCCCCGCGAAAGGCAAUUUGUUGUUGA